RNAcentral lists this ribosomal RNA (506 nucleotides) under uncultured bacterium. RNAcentral describes it as "partial 16S ribosomal RNA". It matches the Rfam family "Bacterial small subunit ribosomal RNA", at positions 28 to 523 of the family's 1533-position model. The record is from RNAcentral.
GAUGAACGCUAGCUACAGGCUUAACACAUGCAAGUCGAGGGGUAACGAGAGGAAAGCUUGCUUUCCUUGUCGACGACCGGCGCACGGGUGAGUAACGCGUAUCCAACCUGCCCCCAACUAGGGAAUAACCUUGCGAAAGUAAGACUAAUACCCUAUAAUUUCCUCAGAUGUCAUCUGACGAGGAAUAAAGAUUUAUCGGUUGUGGAUGGGGAUGCGUCUGAUUAGCUUGUUGGCGGGGUAACGGCCCACCAAGGCAACGAUCAGUAGGGGUUCUGAGAGGAAGGUCCCCCACAUUGGAACGAAGAAACGGUCCAAACUCCUACGGGAGGCAGCAGUGAGGAAUAUUGGUCAAUGGGCGGAAGCCUGAACCAGCCAAGUAGCGUGCAGGAUGACGGCCCUAUGGGUUGUAAACUGCUUUUAUACAGGAAUAAAGUUAGCCACGUGUGGUUAUUUGUAGGUACUGUAUGAAUAAGGACCGGCUAAUUCCGUGCCAGCCGCCGCGGUAA